CAGCAGCCGCGGGAAUACGGAGGGUGCAAGCGUUAAUCGGAAUUACUGGGCGUAAAGCGCACGCAGGCGGUCUGACAAGUCAGAUGUGAAAUCCCCGGGCUUAACCUGGGAACUGCAUUUGAAACUGUCAGGCUGGAGUCUUGUAGAGGGGGGUAGAAUUCCAGGCGUAGCGGUGAAAUGCGUAGAGAUCUGGAGGAAUACCGGUGGCGAAGGUGGCCCCCUGGACAAAGACUGACGCUCAGGUGCGAAAGCGUGGGGAGCAAACAGGAUUAGAUACCCGUGUAGUCCCUGUCUCUUAUAC
This 301-nucleotide ribosomal RNA is filed under the name uncultured bacterium. Its description in RNAcentral is "partial 16S ribosomal RNA". It matches the Rfam family "Bacterial small subunit ribosomal RNA", at positions 509 to 807 of the family's 1533-position model. The record is from RNAcentral.